GAUUGAACGCUGGCGGCAUGCUUUACACAUGCAAGUCGAACGGCAGCACGGGGGCAACCCUGGUGGCGAGUGGCGAACGGGUGAGUAAUGCAUCGGAACGUGUCCUGUAAUGGGGGAUAACCUAUCGAAAGGUAGGCUAAUACCGCAUACGUCCUGAGGGAGAAAGCGGGGGCUCGCAAGACCUCGUGUUAUAGGAGCGGCCGAUGUCGGAUUAGCUAGUUGGUGGGGUAAAGGCCUACCAAGGCGACGAUCCGUAGCGGGUCUGAGAGGACGGCCCGCCACACUGGGACUGAGACACGGCCCAGACUCCUACGGGAGGCAGCAGUGGGGAAUUUUGGACAAUGGGGGCAACCCUGAUCCAGCCAUGCCGCGUGAGUGAAGAAGGCCUUCGGGUUGUAAAGCUCUUUCGGCCAGGAAGAAAUCGCGCCAGCUAAUACCUGGUGUGGAUGACGGUACCGGAAGAAGAAGCACCGGCUAACUACGUGCCAGCAGCCGCGGUAAUACGUAGGGUGCGAGCGUUAAUCGGAAUUACUGGGCGUAAAGCGUGCGCAGGCGGUUUUGUAAGACAGGUGUGAAAUCCCCGGGCUUAACCUGGGAACUGCGCUUGUGACUGCAAGACUUGAGUGCGGCAGAGGGGGGUGGAAUUCCACGUGUAGCAGUGAAAUGCGUAGAGAUGUGGAGGAACACCGAUGGCGAAGGCAGCCCCCUGGGUCGACACUGACGCUCAUGCACGAAAGCGUGGGGAGCAAACAGGAUUAGAUACCCUGUAGUCCACGCCCUAAACGAUGCGAACUAGUGUUGGGGAAGGAGACUUCUUUAGUACCGUAGCUAACGCGUGAAGUUCGCCGCCUGGGGAGUACGGUCGCAAGAUUAAAACUCAAAGGAAUUGACGGGGACCCGCACAAGCGGUGGAUGAUGCGGAUUAAUUCGAUGCACGCGAAAAACCUUACCUACCCUUGACAUGUCCGGAAUCCUGUGAGAGCUGGGGUUGCCCGAAAGGGACCGGAACACAGGUGCUGCAUGGCUGUCGUCAGCUC
RNAcentral lists this ribosomal RNA (1037 nucleotides) under uncultured bacterium. Its description in RNAcentral is "bacterial SSU rRNA". It matches the Rfam family "Bacterial small subunit ribosomal RNA", at positions 27 to 1061 of the family's 1533-position model. The record is from RNAcentral.